UAAAAAGAAGUGGUCUUCUCUAAAUCUUUUUUGGGGAAGGCCCCCCGGCGGUUUUUAUACCUUUUGUGGGGAAAGAAAAAGGCUCCCCCACAGGGCAAUGUAAUUCGUACCGGCCCCCGGAAGGAGGUUAUUCGCCCCCCAUUGGGGAUUGAGACCCCGGCCCCAAUCUCCUUGCGGGAGGCCAGCAGUAGGGAAUUCUUCCAACAAGGGACCGCAAGUCUGAAGGAAGCAACCCCCGCGUGAAGGAAGAAAGGUUUUCGGCUCGUAAAGCUUUGUUGUUAAAAAAGAACGUGGGUAAGAGUAACUGUUUACCCAGUGACGGUAUUUAACCAGAAAGCCACGGCUAACUACGUGCCAGCAGCCGCGGUAAUACGUAGGUGGCAAGCGUUAUCCGGAUUUAUUGGGCGUAAAGCGAGCGCAGGCGGUCUUUUAAGUCUAAUGUGAAAGCCUUCGGCUCAACCGAAGAAGUGCAUUGGAAACUGGGAGACUUGAGUGCAGAAGAGGACAGUGGAACUCCAUGUGUAGCGGUGAAAUGCGUAGAUAUAUGGAAGAACACCAGUGGCGAAGGCGGCUGUCUGGUCUGCAACUGACGCUGAGGCUCGAAAGCAUGGGUAGCGAACAGGAUUAGAUACCCUGGUAGUCCAUGCCGUAAACGAUGAUUACUAAGUGUUGGAGGGUUUCCGCCCUUCAGUGCUGCAGCUAACGCAUUAAGUAAUCCGCCUGGGGAGUACGACCGCAAGGUUGAAACUCAAAAGAAUUGACGGGGGCCCGCACAAGCGGUGGAGCAUGUGGUUUAAUUCGAAGCUACGCGAAGAACCUUACCAGGUCUUGACAUCUUCUGACAGUCUAAGAGAUUAGAGGUUCCCUUCGGGGACAGAAUGACAGGUGGUGCAUGGUUGUCGUCAGCUCGUGUCGUGAGAUGUUGGGUUAAGUCCCGCAACGAGCGCAACCCUUAUUACUAGUUGCCAGCAUUAAGUUGGGCACUCUAGUGAGACUGCCGGUGACAAACCGGAGGAAGGUGGGGACGACGUCAAAUCAUCAUGCCCCUUAUGACCUGGGCUACACACGUGCUACAAUGGAUGGUACAACGAGUCGCGAGACCGCGAGGUUAAGCUAAUCUCUUAAAACCAUUCUCAGUUCGGACUGUAGGCUGCAACUCGCCUACACGAAGUCGGAAUCGCUAGUAAUCGCGGAUCAGCAUGCCGCGGUGAAUACGUUCCCGGGCCUUGUACACACCGCCCGUCACACCAUGAGAGUUUGUAACACCCAAAGCCGGUGGGGUAACCUUUUAGGAGCUAGCCGUCUAAGGUGACAGAGUUGGU
This 1322-nucleotide ribosomal RNA is filed under the name Pediococcus pentosaceus. Its description in RNAcentral is "bacterial SSU rRNA". It matches the Rfam family "Bacterial small subunit ribosomal RNA", at positions 202 to 1475 of the family's 1533-position model. Lineage: Bacteria; Bacillati; Bacillota; Bacilli; Lactobacillales; Lactobacillaceae. The record is from RNAcentral.